GAGAUUUUAGUAUUAAAAAUACAUUACUUUGUCAAAGUAAAAUUAAAGGUUACAAUCCUUUAUUUCUCU
Molecule: transfer RNA, 69 nt
Filed under: Erinaceus europaeus (western European hedgehog)
Lineage: Eukaryota; Metazoa; Chordata; Mammalia; Eulipotyphla; Erinaceidae
Description: tRNA (ENSEEUG00000023934.1)
Rfam family: tRNA
About the family: Transfer RNA (tRNA) molecules are approximately 80 nucleotides in length. Their secondary structure includes four short double-helical elements and three loops (D, anti-codon, and T loops).
Source: Rfam by way of RNAcentral